RNAcentral lists this long non-coding RNA (3526 nucleotides) under Homo sapiens (human). Its description in RNAcentral is "HSALNT0353131". Lineage: Eukaryota; Metazoa; Chordata; Mammalia; Primates; Hominidae. The record is from RNAcentral.
GAGUUGGGGGAGAGGACCAGAACCACCUGCUGGAGAAGGGGAGCUACGGGGGCCGGGCAGGGUCCAAACGCCUCACGUAGGCGGCGGCGCCACGGUCUUCGGGGUCACAGGGAAGAGAAGGGCUCUCCUCAAGCGGGUGGAAGGAGGGAGGCCUCCCGAGGGAGUGAGACUCUAGGCCACUCCCCCGCAGCAAGGCAGGAUCACCUGCGACGCGGAGAGCGGUUAGAGGGCCCUGGAGUGGAAAAGGGCAGUGGGACCUGGUAGCUUGGGUUCCCUGCAACUUGGGGUUCGACCUCCAGGCAAUGAAGUAGGGAUGGUCCUGCAAGUCAAGAUUCCAGUAGCAAGAGUGCAUCAGAUCUCUGUAAGGAAAAUAACUAACAUUGCUCAGUUCCCUGUAGAGUUGCAGGGCGCUUUAACGUUAUCUCCCUUGGUUCUCCAUCAGGUCGUAGUGGACUAAUUUUACAGGCGAAGUUAAGUGACUUACCCAAAACCUCACAGCUAAUAAACGGCAGAGCCGGCACCCAGCUGUACUGGCUUCCAAUUCUGUUAGCUUACCAGCGCAUCACAUUAUCUCCAUAAAUCCCCAUGAUUCAACUAAUAUUAGACGCCCCACAGGUAAGAUGCUUCAGAGUUAGAGGGGAGUUGAAGAUACCUUUGCCUUCAAAGAAGUAAGGAAUAAAACAAAGAUAAAACAGACAAUAAAAGACAAACCAUGAUAGGUGCCACGUGAAAAGUGGCAGAGUACUGCCGGGAAUCAAAGAACCGUGUAUAUCUGUCUUGGGGAUAAGGAAAGAAAGGCAGCAUGAAGGAGUAGGCAUUUGGGAUUGACCUUGAAGGAGACAGGGAGAGUUUUACAGCAAGCAGGGAUAGCAUGAGAAUAUAUAUGAAGGCGAAUCAGUGAAAGUUGUGUUGGGGAAAGAGCAAAGACUCCAGGGUAUGUUGAGAGGUAGAAAAGACAAAGGAGUAUGGGGCCUAAGAUACCAAAUGGAUGAAUUUAUAUUUAAUUCAGUAUUUUGAGUUUUUAUGGUUCAGAAGUUUGGGGGAAGAAAAGGAAGGUUUUUUUUUUUCUUUGUGCUAGUGAUUUAUCUGUGAGGGGAAGCAGAAAUCAGAGGUGGAAAAACGGACAGAUCUACUGUAGGCCAGGUAAAAAUGAUGAGUCUGACCUAAAGGGACAGCUAGGGGAAUUUAAAAGAGCAUAGUUGAGAGAUGAUGUGCAUGCAGUAUCUAUAGAAUUUGGCAACUGAUUGAUUAAUUGUGGGUAGGAAGAGAGAAAUCAAAGAAAGUGGAGGUUUUGAGUUUGUAGAUAAUUGCAAGAGAGAAAAGAGACAAUUACAAAGGAGAGGGAGCUACUUCUUGAGAGAUCAGUUUAGAUUUGGACAUUUUAAGAAUUCAAAGGGUUGUCAAGACAGCCAGAGAGACAUGGACACUAAUAAGUUAGAAAUAAAGGUUUUGUAAUAUGGGAAAGAGGACUGAACUAGAAAAUAGACUCAUAAAUAAUCAGCCUAGGAGUGAUAUUGCUGUGAGAUAAAAGAAGAAAACAAAGGUCAGAAUCUUGGAAAACACCCUCUUUAGAGUCUCGCUACUCAAAACGUGGUCAGUGGCCCAGCAGCACUGACAUGAGGAUGUUAGUUAGAAACUCAGAAUCUCAGGCUCCACCCCAGACCUGCUGAACCAGCAUCUUCAACUUAACAAGAACCCGAAGAGAUUUGUGUCACAUCAAAAAGUUUGAGAAGCUCUGAUCUAGGUGAGCCAAGCCAGCAAAGAAAGGGGAUGGAGCAGAAAAUGGGAGGAGAAUAGGGUAACGCAGAAUCAUCAAGACAAGGUAAAUUGGAGUUUCACAAAAACAGGGCUGGAAGGAGUGUUGCUCAACAAUAUCCAAAACCACAGAGGUUGAAAAGCACAAGGAAAGAAGGUAUGUUUGCACUUUGUGAUUAGGUAGUAGGGUCUUUGAGACCACAUUGUUCUUAUUGAAAGCCUGGGAAGAAAGAUCCCCUUUCUGGUCAAGUUUAGUCUAGGGAUCCAUCCCAUCUUCCCCAGUUCCCACGUGUAUGGGACAUGUCGAGAUAAGUAGAUAGAUUGGACAGUGGGAGAAAGUAGUUCUCUUCCAGUUGCUUCUAUUUUCUCAGCAAAGUGAGGAGCAAGAUCAUUUUGGCAGACUGCUAAUUGUCCAUCACAAUUUAGUCUCCCUUUCUCCCUGAAAACACAGACUGCUUUUCUCAGCCUCUCUUUCAGUUGCAUAUGGUCAAGUAUUAAGUUAUAGAACGUGAGCAGAUGUUAUGUCUGCCACUGUCAGGCCAAGGCGUUUACUUUGAGAGUACUUGUGCCUCUUUCAUGCAUUUUCCUUUCUGCCAGCUGGACCCUGGACACGGUGACUCUGAUUCAAUUAUGCAGAUGACCACAAACCUCUGGGGUUGGCAGAGCCACAAGAAAGAAGGUGCCUGGAUGAAGGAGAGCUACCCACUGACCUGGACACCCAAUUAUGUCAUAGGUGCUGUGAUCUAGAGACAAAAUGUUCCUUACACUGGCAGAUACUUGCAAACUAAGGGGAAUGAGCUUCCUUCUGAAUGUUUAUGAAGGAGAGGCCACUGUGUCAUCUGUCUUAGAGCUAUUGGAAUCCUGGAUCAUUGUGGGAAAUGAAAGGAACUGGUUUUUAGCAAGGAGACCAAGAAACUCUACUCCCUAGGGGCUAGCAAUGAGAGAAAGGAAGCCUUAAGUCUUUGAGCACAGGGUGACAGUUUGGGUCCUAUGUGAGAUGAUCAAAUCCACAGCAACAGAGGAAAGGACAAAAGGAAAAGAUACUUCGAUGGAAUCAGCAGCCAUUGAUCCAAUGCCAACUCCAAGACUGGAACGUCGCAAUGAUAGUUCCAAGGCGGAAAUUUGACGUAAUUCUUUUCGACACAGUUUUACAGGCAUCUUGCAUGUGAAUAACUCACAACUUUAAUUCAUGGAACAAAUUGAGAAAUAGUCUUUUGGGGGUUUGGUACUCCCUGGAAACAUAAGAGUGCUUUGGGCACCUCUGGUGCCUUUCCAUGCCUGCCUUCUCUGCUGUUCUUGCUACUAGUGAAUUCUAAAUCAUGGCCAAGUGAUGCCAGCACUGGAUAAUAUUGGCUCUGCCCCAUAUCUCGAGGGAAAACUCUAGGACUUGGCAUUAUAUGUGUGGGAAUCUGGCCUUGGUUGGCACUCCCAGCAUGAUAGCGGGGUUCUCCUGUCUGAAUGUACUCUGGGGUGUGCGCCACAAUUUCUGUCAUCGAAAUGGAGAUGAGAGAAUAUGCCCUUGGUGGGGACACCCCACUGGAAUUAGAGUGAAGAGAUCAAAGCUAGAGGUUCUUAAAUCAAAGAAUAUCUAAUAGCAAAGACAAAAACUUGCUUAAGGGAAAUGCAUACAAGUACUAGACCUAAUAUGAUGAAAAAUGCCAACUUCAAUAUAUUGAUGCAUGCUUAGUACACUUUCAGUCCUGCAAAGACAAAGUUUUUUGUUGUUUUUUUUUUGAGACGGAGUCUCGCUCUGUCGCCCAGGUUGGAGUGC